AUCCUUUUGUAGUUCAUGAACAUGAUGAUUGGGUGUUCAUACGCUUGUGUGAGAUAUGCCACCCUUGAACCUUGUUAUGACGUCGGCACAUUACUUAUCUGACC
Small nucleolar RNA from Aotus nancymaae (Ma's night monkey), 104 nucleotides. NCBI's taxonomy places the organism in Eukaryota, Metazoa, Chordata, Mammalia, Primates, Aotidae. The record is from Ensembl.